Molecule: long non-coding RNA, 1575 nt
Filed under: Triticum aestivum (bread wheat)
Lineage: Eukaryota; Viridiplantae; Streptophyta; Magnoliopsida; Poales; Poaceae
Description: long non-coding RNA (TAES_LNC022412)
Source: RNAcentral
AAAUAAAGUAUAUUUAUUGCUCUUUCUUCCUCUUACAGAGAAAAACAACAUUUGUGUCCAUAGGUUGAAUGACCCACUCCACAAACACAACCCGAGACACAGGUAUGCAAGCAGAUAAAGGAUGGAAGAGUUGCAAAUAGUUAUUUCUCAACAAAUACAUAUCCUUGAUCCCAAAUACACAUAAGGAAGAACAAUAAAGUCAAAGAGUUGGGAGAAUUUCGUCAUGUCAGUGGAAGAGGAAAACUUCUCCGUUGCUUGUACACACCACUUCAGAUUUACAGUAGUUGGUUGCCUCUUCAAAUGUGACAGCUACUUGGUGAAUAUAAAUUUCAUCAGAAGUUCCUGCAGCACUUAAUUUGCAACCAUAAGUACUGCACGCCAUAGAGAUGUUUCUUAAUGAUGUGAAAAGUAAAUAUUCAAGGCAUCCUAAAUAAAGGCAUAUGCCAAGUCAAACUCAUGAGGUCAUAUAAGAACCAUCUGUUAACUACAUUAAAUGUUCAUAUAUUUUCUAUAAACUUGGUUAAAGUUCAUAAGAGUAUGACUUCGAAAAAAUUCUUAUAUGCAGUAUAAGUUGGUAAGGAGGCCGUUCUAGAGUAUUAAGAACAUUCAAUAUUUUCCAAAUAAGUUAAUGGUGGCAAGAAGGUAUUAUCAUGCAUAUGUGCAGUGACUCCAUGCAUUCUACUCCCUCUGUUCCGAUUUACUCAUCGUGGUUUUAGUUCACAAAGUAGAUACUAAAUCACACAAAAACUUGGAAAAAGAAUAAUCAGUAAUAGGAUAAUGAAAACUUAUCAUUUUGCUAAAAAAUAUUGUUGUUUCUUUUUUGGAAAUAUGCACUGAAGCACUUCCUCUUGCAUAUCUGUACAUGUUAGACAAAAAACUAAAAGCAAGUGAGCCAAGAACACAUGUAAGUGGUAGUUACCUUGUACUCCCUCCGUUCCUAAAUAAUUGUCUUUCUAGAGAUUUCAACAAGUGACUACAUACGGAGCAAAAUGAGUGAAUCUACACUCUAAAACAUGUCUACAUACAUCCGUAUGUUGUAGUUCAUUUGAGAUGGCUAGAAAGACAAUUAUUUGGGAACGGAGGGAGUAGAAGCUACUGAUAGUAUGCAUGAACUACGGGAGGUGGAGCAGCUGAUCAACAGCCAAAUCUAGUGAAUCAACGAUCUUCCGCAUAAUCUUUCUUCCAGGAAUUAAGAUACAACAUAGUUCCAAGAGGAGCAAUGCAAAGAUGUUAUGAAACUAAGUAAUUUAAUCAUAUUAAAAUGAUCUUUCACCAGUUGUACAACACGGAGGCAGAACUAUAUGUUAUCAGCAACUAACAAAAGGAUACAGCUGCAUACUUAGGCUUUCCAAGCCUCGCAUUUCCUCAUUUAACCUGCAACAUACAUCAUAUUAUGCUCCAGAAAGCAGUUGCAAGAGAGACAAAAUGAACUGAAACAAUACAAAUGCAUAGAAACAGCACACGAUUUUGGAAAGAACAAAAUACAUCCGUUGUCUAAGAAGCUUUUUCUGCUCUAUGGAACUGCAACAUUUUGAUGUGAUGAAAGGAAUUCCUGAAAGCAAACUUGAUUUUGAG